This 227-nucleotide unclassified non-coding RNA is filed under the name Hevea brasiliensis (rubber tree). Lineage: Eukaryota; Viridiplantae; Streptophyta; Magnoliopsida; Malpighiales; Euphorbiaceae. The record is from RNAcentral.
AAUGAAUUCGGUUGUGAUUCGGCCUGACUUGAUGAAGUCGAAUGUGAUACAGCCUGAUUUGAGGAAAUAGACUGUGAUGCAGCCUGAGUUGACUGAACCGGCUGUGAUGUAGCCUGAACUGAGGAAGUCAUCUGUUUUUUGGCCUGAACUGAUGAAAUCGAUUGUGAUGUGGUUGGUUGUGCAUUGGGCUGAACUGACAAUGUAGGUUGUGUUUGAACUGAGUUUUG